Molecule: long non-coding RNA, 733 nt
Filed under: Cinara cedri
Lineage: Eukaryota; Metazoa; Arthropoda; Insecta; Hemiptera; Aphididae
Source: RNAcentral
GACAAGAAAUGUAUGAAUAUUAUUGUUGCAUUUUUUAAAAGGACAUAAUUUUAAUGAUAUAAGGCCUUUGAUGUAGAAUUAUGAACAUUACUUAUUCUAGUGUUUGUUUGUACCAAGAAGCAUUUGCGAAAUAUUUCUCAUAUUAUAACCAAGUUCUGUACUCUUGUACUUUAGUCUUGACUGGAGAGAACCAAUAUUUAUGCAGUUUGUGAAGGAAUAUAUAUGUUAGCAAUGUUCAAGUUCAUAUGUUAUCUUAUACACAUCUCAUUUAUAUCUGGCCAUAUACUGUUUAAAUGUAGUUCUUCAAUUUUCACAUUAUUAAAGGUUGUAUGCCAUUAAUAUUUGAUCAUGCACAUUAUUAAUUCUAUUUUUUGAUUGUUUCAGGAAGCAUUUGCCAAAAAUUGAUCAUAUUGCCAUUGAGUUCUGUGCUAUUGCAACAUCACUUUUACUGAAGACAACCAAUACUCAUGCAGUUUUUGUAGGAAGACAUAUGCUAAGUACUUUCAAGACAAGUGUCAUCUUACACACAACUCAUCUUAAUCUGGCUACACACUGUUUAAAUGCAGUUCUUCAAUUUUCACAUUAUUAAAGGUCAUAUGCCAUUAAUAUUGAAUUAUGAAUAUUAUUAUUUCUAGUGUUUGAUUGUUUCAGGAAAGAUUUGACAAAUAUUGAUUAUGAAUAUUAUUAUUUCUAGUGUUUGAUUGUUUCAGGAAAGAUUUGACAAAUAUUGAUC